Ananas comosus (pineapple) is the source of this 505-nucleotide long non-coding RNA. RefSeq lists it as uncharacterized. Lineage: Eukaryota; Viridiplantae; Streptophyta; Magnoliopsida; Poales; Bromeliaceae. The record is from RefSeq and is a predicted model, not a curated record. The transcript has 3 exons.
CCCCUAACCCGAUCAAUCCUUUUUUUUUCCCCUCUUCCGUACGACUCCCUAUCUCUCUCAUUCUUCAAAGCACCUUACGCGUCUGCUGCUCCGCACGUGCGCGCGCGACGCUAUCCGAUCGUCGCCAUCAUCCGUAGCCGUCUCCGCCGCAAUCCUCUUUGGCCGUUAUUUUUUGGUUCGCUAUCGAGGGUAUCCUGCCGUCAUCUUCACCAUUUUCGAGAAGGUUCCGGUGAUUGAUUUUUCGCGCAAUUUUCAAUUGGAUAGCUUCUUAGCUUAGAAGCCGCUUUUGAGAUACCGAGACUGAUUUGCCGGGCGGGGCUGAGACCAAGUGAACGUUAGACGUAGCUAGUUUUGUUUUAGUCCUUUUUUUUUUUACAUCUAGUAUUUUCGGAUGUGAAUCUUUGGACUUCGUAUAUAAUCGUUUGUCAUUUGCUUUUAUUUCGUUAUUUCUUCGUACCCACUUUUGUCACUUAUGGUAUUUUGUAGACCGAAUCUCUCUUGUGAU